AUGAACGCUGGCGGCGUGCUUAAGACAUGCAAGUCGAACGAGAAAGUAGCAAUAUGAGUACAGUGGCGCACGGGUGAGUAGUACUUGGGUAACAUACCUUUUCGCUGGGGAUAACUAGGGGAAACCUUAGCUAAUACCGAAUAAUCCGCGAGAAACCUCGGUUUCUUUCGGUAAAGCCGUAAGGCGCGAAAAGAGUGGCCCCAGGCCUAUUAGCUAGUUGGUGAGGUAAUGGCUCACCAAGGCUAUGAUGGGUAGCUGGUCUGAGAGGAUGAUCAGCCACACUGGUACUGAAAUACGGACCAGACUCCUACGGGAGGCAGCAGUUAGGAAUUUUGCACAAUGGGGGAAACCCUGAUGCAGCAACGCCGCGUGAGUGAUGAAGGCCUUCGGGUUGUAAAGCUCUUUUGACGGGAACGAAAAAAAUGACGGUACCCGUUGAAUAAGCACCGGCUAACUCCGU
RNAcentral lists this ribosomal RNA (460 nucleotides) under uncultured bacterium. RNAcentral's name for it is "partial 16S ribosomal RNA". It matches the Rfam family "Bacterial small subunit ribosomal RNA", at positions 29 to 506 of the family's 1533-position model. The record is from RNAcentral.